This 434-nucleotide ribosomal RNA is filed under the name uncultured bacterium. RNAcentral describes it as "bacterial SSU rRNA". It matches the Rfam family "Bacterial small subunit ribosomal RNA", at positions 958 to 1392 of the family's 1533-position model. The record is from RNAcentral.
AACGCGAAGAACCUUACCUAAGCUUGACAUCCUUUUGACCGAUGCCUAACCGCAUCUUUCCCUUCGGGGACAGAAGUGACAGGUGGUGCAUGGUUGUCGUCAGCUCGUGUCGUGAGAUGUUGGGUUAAGUCCCGCAACGAGCGCAACCCUUGCCUUUAGUUGCCAGCAUUAAGUUGGGCACUCUAGAGGGACUGCCAGGGAUAACCUGGAGGAAGGUGGGGAUGACGUCAAAUCAUCAUGCCCCUUAUGCUUAGGGCUACACACGUGCUACAAUGGGUGGUACAGAGGGCAGCCAAGUCGUGAGGCCAAGCUAAUCCCUUAAAGCCAUUCUCAGUUCGGAUUGUAGGCUGAAACUCGCCUACAUGAAGCUGGAGUUACUAGUAAUCGCAGAUCAGAAUGCUGCGGUGAAUGCGUUCCCGGGCCUGUACACACCG